GGACCCGCACAAGCGGUGGAUUAUGUGGAUUAAUUCGAUGCAACGCGAAAAACCUUACCUACCCUUGACAUGUCCUGAAUCCUGGAGAGAUCCGGGGGUGCCCGAAAGGGAACGGGAACACAGGUGCUGCAUGGCUGUCGUCAGCUCGUGUCGUGAGAUGUUGGGUUAAGUCCCGCAACGAGCGCAACCCUUGUCAUUAGUUGCUACCGCAAGGAGCACUCUAAUGAGACUGCCGGUGACAAACCGGAGGAAGGUGGGGAUGACGUCAAGUCCUCAUGGCCCUUAUGGGUAGGGCUUCACACGUAAUACAAUGGUCGGUACAGAGGGUUGCCAAGCCGCGAGGCGGAGCCAAUCCCAGAAAGCCGAUCGUAGUCCGGAUCGCAGUCUGCAACUCGACUGCGUGAAGUCGGAAUCGCUAGUAAUCGCGGAUCAGCAUGUCGCGGUGAAUACGUUCCCGGGUCUUGUACACACCGCCCGUCACACCAUGGGAGCGGGUUUCACCAGAAGCCGGUCGCCUAACCGCAAGGGGGGCGCCGACCACGGUGAGAUUCGUGACUGGGGUGAAGUCGUAACAAGGUAGCCGUAUCGGAAGGUGCGGCU
This 600-nucleotide ribosomal RNA is filed under the name uncultured bacterium. Its description in RNAcentral is "bacterial SSU rRNA". It matches the Rfam family "Bacterial small subunit ribosomal RNA", at positions 917 to 1519 of the family's 1533-position model. The record is from RNAcentral.